RNAcentral lists this ribosomal RNA (559 nucleotides) under Chloroparvula japonica. Its description in RNAcentral is "partial Bacterial large subunit ribosomal RNA". It matches the Rfam family "Bacterial large subunit ribosomal RNA", at positions 1037 to 1703 of the family's 2925-position model. The record is from RNAcentral. Lineage: Eukaryota; Viridiplantae; Chlorophyta; Chloropicophyceae; Chloropicales; Chloropicaceae.
AGCUAAGGCCCCUAAUUCAUGGCUAAGUGGGAAAGCAUGUGGGACGACCAAAACAACCAGGAGGUUGGCUUAGAAGCAGCCAUCCUUUAAAGAAAGCGUAAUAGCUCACUAGUCGAGUCGGCCUGCGCGGAAGAUGUAACGGGGCUCAAACCAUACACCGAAGCUACGGGUAUCACGUAAGUGAUGCGGUAGAGGAGCGUUCUGUAAGCCUGUGAAGGGUGACCCGCGAGGGCACUUGGAGGUAUCAGAAGUGAGAAUGCUGACAUGAGUAGCGAUAAAGAGUGUGAGAAACACUCUCGCCGAAAUCCCAAGGGUUCCUGCGCAAGGCUAAUCCGCGCAGGGUGAGCCGGCCCCUAAGCCGAGGGCGAAAGCCGUAGGCGAUGGGAACCAGGUGAAUAUUCCUGGGCCAGACGGUGGUGACGAAUAGUGGAAGCUGUACGGGCUUAACGGAUUGUCCGUGCAGUAAAGCUGUUCCAGGAAAUAACCCCGUCGUGAGACCGUACCCGAAACCGACACAGGUGGGAUGGUAGAGCAUACCAAGGCGCUUGAGAGAACUAUG